AUGCGAUACUAGGAAGGAAGACUGGGAAGGGCCCACCAGCGUGAAUGAGAGGUUUACACAGUGGUAUCAGUCAGCGCCUGGAAGUCCACAUUCCCACCCUGUGUGACAGCGGUUCCUAAGACGGACGGCCUUCCCGCCCCUCAUCCUGGUCCAGCGAGAUGCUGAAGAAGUCAGGCUCACAGAGCCCCAUUGUGGUGUGUCAGAACCCACAGAAAAUGUUCCUCCUGUGCAUUAUUUAUGACUUUCCUGCAUUUAUAUAGUAUCCAGCUUCCUGAAAGUAAUUUGUUUUGGAUUGUGUAGUGCCGGGCAGCACAUCAAAGGAACAAAGCCUUCUGGGAAGGCUAUGAAGAUCUUCAAGCCCACUUGGACAGAAUUCUGUAGACCUCCUGAUUGAACCAAUGGCAACCAUGGCAACCACGGGACCAGUUUUAAAGUGGUGCCAAGGUGCUAGGUUAACAAAGAGAAUCUCUCAAGACUGGACAUUUAGGCUGCACUUGCUGGUUAUAAUUUAAAUAUUUCUCAAUAAAAGCAUUUCCCAUUUUAAGA
Long non-coding RNA from Mus musculus (house mouse), 546 nucleotides. RefSeq annotates it as predicted gene, 36520. NCBI's taxonomy places the organism in Eukaryota, Metazoa, Chordata, Mammalia, Rodentia, Muridae. The transcript has 3 exons. The record is from RefSeq and is a predicted model, not a curated record.